RNAcentral lists this transfer RNA (69 nucleotides) under Goera martynowi. Its description in RNAcentral is "tRNA-Cys". The record is from RNAcentral. Lineage: Eukaryota; Metazoa; Arthropoda; Insecta; Trichoptera; Goeridae.
AGUUUUAUAGUCAAUAAAUAUAUGAUAUUAAAUUGCAAAUUUAAAGUAGUAAAAAUUAUACUAAAGCUU